UACGUAGGGUGCAAGCGUUGUCCGGAAUUAUUGGGCGUAAAGGGCUCGUAGGCGGUCCGUCACGUCGGGAGUGAAAUCCUGGGGCUUAACCCCAGAACUGCUUCCGAUACGGGCAGACUAGAGGUAGGUAGGGGAGAAUGGAAUUCCUGGUGUAGCGGUGGAAUGCGCAGAUAUCAGGAGGAACACCGGUGGUGUAAACGGCUUUCUGGACCAUAACUGACGCUGAGGCACGAAAGCGUGGGUAGCAAACAGG
This 253-nucleotide ribosomal RNA is filed under the name uncultured bacterium. RNAcentral's name for it is "partial 16S ribosomal RNA". It matches the Rfam family "Bacterial small subunit ribosomal RNA", at positions 524 to 776 of the family's 1533-position model. The record is from RNAcentral.